Molecule: long non-coding RNA, 465 nt
Organism: Mustela lutreola (European mink)
Lineage: Eukaryota; Metazoa; Chordata; Mammalia; Carnivora; Mustelidae
Exons: 3
Source: RefSeq, a predicted model, not a curated record
UGCCCUUCCGCUUCUCCUCCAGCCCCUAAUGGUCUCUCCUUGCCCUGAACUCCUCCAAUACAAUGCUUUAUGUCUUCUUUCAUCCAUCUAAGCCCUGAGGGAGUUUAACUGCUUGUGGGAGACAAGAUACACUCUUAAAGGAAAGGACUUUAGAAUGAGAGAGCCUUGAUACCUAGAUUGGUAAAUGUCCUGGGGAGAACAGAAUCCUUGAAGUUGGCAACCAUUCCUGCACCAGCAAACUCCAACAAUCACCUUUAGGGAAGCAACUUAACCACCUUUACCUCCCACAUCGCUUUAAGCCAUGUUUCACCAUGCCUCUGGUUUUCAACUCACCACUACAAUCAACUUAAUCUGGAAGAUUCUGGAUUCUAGUCCUGGCUUCUGUGCACUAAAGUACCUCCUCUAUAAAAUGAGGGGUAUGAACUGUUGAUCUCUAAAGUCUACCAGCUCAAAAGUGACCUCGUG